Molecule: ribosomal RNA, 305 nt
Filed under: uncultured bacterium
Lineage: Bacteria
Description: partial 16S ribosomal RNA
Rfam family: Bacterial small subunit ribosomal RNA
Source: RNAcentral
ACAGCAGUAGCCGCGGUAAUACAGAGGGUGCGAGCGUUAAUCGGAUUUACUGGGCGUAAAGCGUGCGUAGGCGGCUAAUUGAGUCGGAUGUGAAAUCCCCGAGCUUAACUUGGGAAUUGCAUUCGAUACUGGUUAGCUAGAGUGUGGGAGAGGAUGGUAGAAUUCCAGGUGUAGCGGUGAAAUGCGUAGAGAUCUGGAGGAAUACCGAUGGCGAAGGCAGCCAUCUGGCCUAACACUGACGCUGAGGUACGAAAGCAUGGGGAGCAAACAGGAUUAGAUACCCCAGUAGUCCCUGUCUCUUAUAC